ACGCGUGAGAAUCUGCCUUCAGGUCUGGGACAACAGAAGGAAACUUCUGCUAAUCCCGGAUGAGCCUUAUGGUAAAAGAUAAAUUGCCUGGAGAUGAGCUCGCGUCUGAUUAGCUAGUUGGUGUGGUAAAAGCAUACCAAGGCAACGAUCAGUAGCUGGUCUGAGAGGAUGAGCAGCCACACUGGGACUGAGACACGGCCCAGACUCCUACGGGAGGCAGCAGUGGGGAAUUUUCCGCAAUGGGCGAAAGCCUGACGGAGCAAGACCGCGUGGGGGAGGAAGGCUCUAGGGUUGUAAACCCCUUUUCUUUGGGAAGAAGUUCUGACGGUACCAAAGGAAUCAGCCUCGGCUAACUCCGUGCCAGCAGCCGCGGUAAUACGGAGGAGGCAAGCGUUAUCCGGAAUGAUUGGGCGUAAAGCGUCCGCAGGUGGCCAUGUAAGUCUGCUGUCAAAACCCAGGGCUCAACUCUGGUCAGGCAGUGGAAACUACAAAGCUAGAGUCUGGUAGGGGCAAAGGGAAUUCCCGGCGUAGCGGUGAAAUGCGUAGAUUUCGGGAAGAACAUCGGUGGCGAAAGCGCUUUGCUAGACCAGAACUGACACUCAGGGACGAAAGCUAGGGGAGCGAAUGGGAUUA
RNAcentral lists this ribosomal RNA (633 nucleotides) under Okeania sp. 1802-18. RNAcentral describes it as "bacterial SSU rRNA". It matches the Rfam family "Bacterial small subunit ribosomal RNA", at positions 113 to 780 of the family's 1533-position model. Lineage: Bacteria; Bacillati; Cyanobacteriota; Cyanophyceae; Oscillatoriales; Microcoleaceae. The record is from RNAcentral.